This 611-nucleotide ribosomal RNA is filed under the name uncultured bacterium. RNAcentral's name for it is "bacterial SSU rRNA". It matches the Rfam family "Bacterial small subunit ribosomal RNA", at positions 338 to 956 of the family's 1533-position model. The record is from RNAcentral.
CCUACGGGAGGCAGCAGUAAGGAAUAUUGGACAAUGCCCGCAAGGGUGAUCCAGCCAUGCCGCGUGCAGGAAGAAGGCCCUAUGGGUCGUAAACUGCUUUUACACCGGAGAAAACCUCCCUUCGUGAAGGGAGCUGAUAGUAUGGUGAGAAUAAGCAUCGGCUAACUUCGUGCCAGCAGCCGCGGUAAGACGAAGGAUGCAAGCGUUAUCCGGAUUCAUUGGGUUUAAAGGGAGCGUAGGUGGACUGAUAAGUCAGUGGUGAAAUCUUCGAGCUUAACUCGGAAAUUGCCAUUGAUACUGUUAGUCUUGAGUACAGUUGCUGUGGGCGGAAUAUGACAUGUAGUGGUGAAAUACAUAGAGAUGUCAUAGAACACCGAUUGCGAAGGCAGCUCACAAAGCUGUAACUGACACUGAGGCUCGAAAGUGCGGGGAUCAAACAGGAUUAGAUACCCUGGUAGUCCGCACUGUAAACGAUGAUUACUCGCUGCUAGAGGGCAACUUUUAGUGGCUUAGCGAAAGCGAUAAGUAAUCCACCUGGGGAGUACGCCGGCAACGGUGAAACUCAAAUGAAUUGACGGCUUGAGGAGNGCGAGGCGACGACGAGGGAGAGG